Molecule: long non-coding RNA, 240 nt
Filed under: Volvox carteri
Lineage: Eukaryota; Viridiplantae; Chlorophyta; Chlorophyceae; Chlamydomonadales; Volvocaceae
Description: long non-coding RNA (VCAR_LNC004321)
Source: RNAcentral
UUACGUAUGUAUGUCGUGGGGUACCUCGGCAAUAUCGUUUUGGACAGCUGCUACCGGUAACUUACAACACGGCCAGAACAUUUCGAUAAAGUCCUCCUCACACGGGAGAGCACUUGUGCGUCUCUUGUUAGCGGCUUUGUUAGCAGCUCCUCAGCGGGAUUCUGCAAACCUGGACGUAGACCGCCAGACGGCAGUUGCUUUUCUAACGACAUGUAGUUCCCCACCUUCCCCACCUUCCCC